RNAcentral lists this ribosomal RNA (566 nucleotides) under uncultured bacterium. RNAcentral describes it as "partial 16S ribosomal RNA". It matches the Rfam family "Bacterial small subunit ribosomal RNA", at positions 355 to 1375 of the family's 1533-position model. The record is from RNAcentral.
UGGGGAAUAUUGCACAAUGGGCGCAAGCCUGAUGCAGCGACGCCGCGUGAGGGAUGACGGCCUUCGGGUUGUAAACCUCUUUCAGCAGGGACGGAGCGCAAUGACGGUACCUGCAGAAGAAGCACCGGCCAACUACGUGCCAGCAGCCGCGGUAAUACGUAGGGUGCGAGCGUUGUCCGGAAUUACUGGGCGUAAAGAGCUCGUAGGCGGUUUGUCGCGUCGUCUGUGAAAUUCUGCAGCUUAACUGCAGGCGUGCAGGCGAUACGGGCAGACUUGAGUACUACAGGGGAGACUGGAAUUCCUGGUGUAGCGGUGAAAUGCGCAGAUAUCAGGAGGAACACCGGUGGCGAAGGCGGGUCUCUGGGUAGUAACUGACGCUGAGGAGCGAAAGCGUGGGUAGCGAACAGGAUUAGAUACCCUGGUAGUCCACGCCGUAAACGGUGGGUACUAGGUGUGGGUUCCAUUUCACGGGAUCCGUGCCGUAGCUAACGCAUUAAGUACCCCGCCUGGGGAGUACGGCCGCAAGGCUAAACUCAAAUGAAUUGACGGGGUCAUAGCUGUUUCCU